UGAAUUGUGUAAAUACAGAAAACAAAAAAAUAUAAUAUAAAAAAUGGGUGAAAGGGUUGCCAUCGCGUGGGCGAUAUUUUUCUAAGUGCGGGAAUCGAUAGUAGCUUUAAAGUAUGGCAACUCCCCCACCCUAUUUAUUCUAGUGCAUUUAGUUGAAUUGAACGUGUUGAAUUGCAUUUUAACAAAAGAAAUCUACUAAUAAUACUAAUUAUAAUUAGUGGGUAGAAUUACUAGAAUAAAGAAGAAAUUGUCGCAUUGUUUUUAUCGCAUUGUUUUGAUGUUUAUAAUCAACAAGGAGUGAUUUUUCCACCUACGACGACUUCAUUAGGGCCAUCCGGGAUGGAAUAAGGAGAGCCAAAAAUAAAAAUUAUAAGGAAAAAUAAAAAAAAAACAAAGAAAAUUCCCCGCCAUUACUUGACAAUUUAAAUUAAGCAGAAUGUUUAAAUAUUGUUUACUUUUAUUUUUAAUUUUUAGUUUUAAUUUGUAGUUUCAAUUUUUAGUUUUAAUUUUUAGUUUUAAUUUUAGCAGUGUAUUAAUUAACAGUGUAACUUAUAUUUAAUUUUAAUUUAAUAAAAUAAAAACGAAUAAAAGCAAAAAAAAAAGCAAAAGCAAAAAAAAUUUUUUCUUGAAUAAAAAUUUCCCUUGUCGCCUUUCGGUCACUUUUUCUCGGGCAAGGCUGCGUACGGUGUGCAUCCUGAGUGCAUCUUUUUCUCGUCGCGAGGCGCGCAAGUUUUGAUGCACGUGCUGAAUUUCCCGGCCACGCUAAUGUAAUUUGGAAUGAUGCGUUUCCUAUGUUGGGAGUGCGCGGCGCACGUCAAUGCUGCACGCUUUCAGCAAGAAAGCGUGCACCAGGUCCGACUGGGUUGUCUUUAUGCAAUGCCAGAAGAGGCGAGGCGGGGGCGGGUGCUGAUUGCAGGUUAAUUCUACUCUCACCGAUCCCAUUGUUGUUGUUGGUUUCGGCCAAGCCAGACAUAGACGGCGAGCGAGCAAGCGAGAGGGAUUGAAGAAGAGCGAACAGGAAAAUGAAAAAUAAUUGAAUUGUAAGGCAAUGUUUACAGGAGAGGAAGAGAAUAUCCGGACCAGCAGACAGACGGGUGGACGGAGAGGGGAAUCGCCGCCGCAGACGUUUGCAAUUGGC
This 1138-nucleotide small RNA is filed under the name Drosophila ananassae. RNAcentral's name for it is "GF26509". Lineage: Eukaryota; Metazoa; Arthropoda; Insecta; Diptera; Drosophilidae. The record is from RNAcentral.